UACAGAGGGUGCGAGCGUUGUCCGGAUUUACUGGGCGUAAAGAGCGCGUAGGCGGCUCGUUAAGUGUGAAGUGAAAUCUCCAGGGCUCAACCCGGAAACUGCUUUACAUACUGGCGAGCUGGAGUGAUGAAGAGGUUUGUGGAAUUCCUGGUGUAGCGGUGAAAUGCGUUGAUAUCAGGAGGAACACCCAUGGCGAAGGCAGCAAACUGGUCAUCAACUGACGCUGAGGCGCGAAAGCGUGGGUAGCAAACAGG
Molecule: ribosomal RNA, 254 nt
Filed under: uncultured bacterium
Lineage: Bacteria
Description: partial 16S ribosomal RNA
Rfam family: Bacterial small subunit ribosomal RNA
Source: RNAcentral